AAAGCAAGAAGAGAAUUACGAUUUGAUAUUCAUCAUUGUUGUAAUUAUCGGAGGCCUGGCUCUUCUCCUCGUCAUUGUACUGGCAGUGGUGUGGUGUCAAAGAAGGCACAAGCCUACAGAAAUCAGUGUGACCCCAGUACCUGAGAUGAGCCAUGUUACUGAAUAUAUGUCUGUGAGUAGGAACGCAAAGCAAGAAGAUACAGAGGAAGGUAUUCACUAUGGAUCCAUCUCCUUCCAGCCUAAAGCAACUGGUGGCAACAGCGAUAAUACACUGUCCUCCAAUCAAGCAUCAGGCACUAACCUUGUUUCUUCAAAGGAAGAUGAGUCUGUCAUCUAUGCUGAAACAGCAAAAAAAUAAACAUGAAGAGAGUGGAAAGUAAAGGCUUGGAC
This is a long non-coding RNA of Amblyraja radiata (thorny skate), 390 nucleotides long. RefSeq lists it as uncharacterized. The record is from RefSeq and is a predicted model, not a curated record. Lineage: Eukaryota; Metazoa; Chordata; Chondrichthyes; Rajiformes; Rajidae. The transcript has 6 exons.